This 646-nucleotide ribosomal RNA is filed under the name Sarcocystis sp. RNAcentral's name for it is "SSU rRNA". It matches the Rfam family "Eukaryotic small subunit ribosomal RNA", at positions 455 to 1077 of the family's 1831-position model. Lineage: Eukaryota; Apicomplexa; Conoidasida; Eucoccidiorida; Sarcocystidae. The record is from RNAcentral.
CUCAGGGAGGUAGUGACAAGAAAUAACAACACUGGAAAUUUAUUUCUAGUGAUUGGAAUGAUGGGAAUUUAAACCCCUUUCAGAGUAACAAUUGGAGGGCAAGUCUGGUGCCAGCAGCCGCGGUAAUUCCAGCUCCAAUAGCGUAUAUUAAAGUUGUUGCAGUUAAAAAGCUCGUAGUUGGAUGUCUGCUGGAAGCAAUCAGUCCGCCCUAUUUGUAGGGUGUGCACUUGAUGAAUUCUGGUAUUUUUGUCCCAAUGAUGUAACGGAGCGGUGCUAUUGGGCAAAAGUUCAAUAGCCUGUUUUCCGAUUAUUGGGAUACUGUUACUUUGAGAAAAUUAGAGUGUUUGAAGCAGGCUAAUUGCCUUGAAUACUGCAGCAUGGAAUAACAAUAUAGGAUUUCGGUUCUAUUUUGUUGGUUUCUAGGACUGAAAUAAUGAUUAAUAGGGACAGUUGGGGGCAUUCGUAUUUAACUGUCAGAGGUGAAAUUCUUAGAUUUGUUAAAGACGAACUACUGCGAAAGCAUUUGCCAAAGAUGUUUUCAUUAAUCAAGAACGAAAGUUAGGGGCUCGAAGACGAUCAGAUACCGUCGUAGUCUUAACCAUAAACUAUGCCGACUAGAGAUAGGAAAAUGUCAUUUUGCUGACUU